GACGAACGCUGGCGGCGUGCUUAACACAUGCAAGUCGAACGGAAAGGCCUGCUUUCCCUUGUGGAUUGCGGGUACUCGAGUGGCGAACGGGUGAGUAACACGUGAGUGAUCUGCCCCCAACUUGGGUAUAAGCCUGGGAAACUGGGUCUAAUUCCCGAUAGGGCUGCAGGGUGGUGCCUGUGGUGGAAAACGGUUUUCUAGUGGUUGGGGAUGAGCUCGCGGCCUAUCAGCUUGUUGGUGGGGUAAUGGCCUACCACGGCGGCGACGGGUAGCCGGCCUGAGAGGGGGGACGGCCACAUUGUGACUGAGAUACCGCCCAGACUCCUACGGGAGGCAGGAGUUGGGAAUAUUGCACAAUGGGCGGAAGCCUGAUGCAGCGACGCCGCGUGGGGGAUGACGGCCUUCGGGUUGUAAACUCCUUUCGACCGCGAGGAAGCCACCUGGUUGGAAGGGUGGUGACGGUAGUGGUAGAAGAAGCACCGGCUAACUACGUG
Molecule: ribosomal RNA, 494 nt
Filed under: uncultured bacterium
Lineage: Bacteria
Description: partial 16S ribosomal RNA
Rfam family: Bacterial small subunit ribosomal RNA
Source: RNAcentral